Non-coding RNA from Poeciliopsis prolifica (blackstripe livebearer), 436 nucleotides. Lineage: Eukaryota; Metazoa; Chordata; Actinopteri; Cyprinodontiformes; Poeciliidae. The record is from the annotation of a RefSeq genome assembly.
GCUGUCCUUCAUCACAACUGAAGACACAGAAAUCCUCCUCAUCUAAAACAUGACUUUGAUCUGCGUCCUCAUCUGGACUCUCCUCUGCUGCUGCUUCACAGAGGUCAGAGGUCAGAUCUCAGUAACUCAGCAGCCUGCAGCAGUGAGAGCUGAUCUGGGAGGAUUUGUCAACAUCAACUGUAGAACCAGCCAGAAUGUUUAUGUUAGUGGCAGCUCCCACUGUUUAGCCUGGUACCAACAGAAAGAUGGACAAACUCCUAAGCUCCUCAGUUAUUAUAGCAGCACUCGAGCAUCAGGGACUCCAAGUCGUUUUUCAGGCAGUGGAUCAAACUCUGACUUCACUCUGACCAUCAGUGGAGUUCAGGCUGAAGAUGCUGCAGUUUAUUACUGUCAGAGUUUUCAUUACCCCAAUAGCCAGCAUGUGUUCACACAGUGA